UGAAAGUGUACAUUUCUUGAAGGCUUGUCAAGAUUCAAUAAUGAUGAAAGCCCACCUAUCUUGAAGGCUUAUCAUCAGCAAUCAUUUUAUUUUCUUAUUUAAUUUUGAUUGCUCUGGUCUUUUACUCAUUUUGCUUCGUCGUUUGAUUUGUAUGUGGUAUCGGCGUGUUUGAUCACGCUUAUUAUAAAAGUCAUUGCAAUGGGAUUAUUUUUCUUUGUUUCUUAUAGGGUUGCAUGAUUAUACGAUGAGAGUGUUUGUCUAUGUUGUUGUGGCGUUUGUAUUUUACUUAAAACACAGAUAUAACAAUAUUUGAUAACAAAAAAAACCAAAUUACGCAUUUGAAAUGCUCGAAAACGAAAGCAGGUCCUACCUGUUUCUUGCGGCUGCACCAUGCAGCACUGUUUAGUGAACAAUGCAUCAUCCCUUCAUAAUAGUACUGUUCACUAAAAUGAAUAGUACGAGUGAAUUUUAAUUCACUUCACGUGAACAAUGUUUUUUUUUAACCUUUUUUUUUUUGAAAAAUUAGUUAACAUAUAUAUAUAUAUAUUUUUUAAAUUGUAAUUUUUAUUUUUUUUAAAAAAUUUAGUUUAAGAUGAAUUAAAUUUAUUCGUAUUGUAAUCUCAAUUUUAUUCCUGAUAAUAUUUUAUCUAAUUUUUUUUAUGUAAAGUAUGAUUUAUUUCACGAUGUAGUAGCAAUAAUUAAAUUUAAAAUAUUUAAAUUAAAAACAUAAAUAUUAAUAUAUAUUUUUUAAAAUUAUUUUAUAACCUCAAUUUCAAAAGCAUUUUUAACCAAACAUAUUAAAUUAUUUUUUGUUUAAUCUCAAUUUCAACCACAGUUUUAACCAAACACUUAUUUUUUUCAAACCAAUCUCAACUAAAAAUACUUUUUAUAAAAUAAUUUUUUUCAAAUCACAACCAUAACAACUAAAAUUGAUGCAAACGAUAUAUAUACUGUUGAGAUUCAAUAUAUAUAUAUAUAUAUUUUUAAAUUCAACUGCUUAAUGCAAAAUUUAAAUUAAAUUCAACGUGUACUUAGGUCUAUUUAUAUUACUGCAAUCUUGUCCUUGAAAAAAUGACUGCUAAAUUACUCUAUAAAAUUUAUCUGAAAUGUAAAUGAGAGCUUCUGCUUCAAAAGAAUUUACAAGUAACUAUUCCAAAUUUUUUCCAGAGGAACGUGCAAAUCAUUCAUCCAGAUUAAUUUUGAGAGGCAGAUCAUUUAACAUAGCAGAACAAGAGAGGGGUAUAGAAGAGACAUAAUUUCCUUUCAAUCUGAUAUGAUUUACUUGCAUCUUCUGCAAUGCCUCUCCAGAUUCUGUCAAAACCAAAAUAUGGUGGUCACAAAUUCUCACCUCCUGUAUAUUUAAUUUGAUUUGAUUUCUUUGUUUUUACAUGUUCCGCCUGAAGAAAACUCAACAGGCAUAUGACAGUGUCUUGUCUCAAUAAAUUAUACUGUUUUGAAUCUGGCUUUACAGUACAGAAUGAUUGGUGAACUUUGACAAUGGUUUCAAACUUGAGAUGACUUCAUUUCAAUGCUAGAUUACUAAUGACCACACAGAAGACGAGGUUGGCUCCAAGAAGUUUCCGAACAAAGAUUUUUUUUUUUUUUUUUACCAAAUUCACAUCCAAAUCUUUGUCAAAUCAUCACGUUACACCAACACCAUAGCGUUGCUUCUUUGGCAUUUACGAUGUUCCGAUGUUUGGUUUAGGCUUCUCACAUUAUCACCGUGUCACAGUGAAAAGAAAGCAAAAGCGGAGUGUGGAAUCACGGUAUGGGCAUCGAGGAGCUGCAGUUGAGGACACCUUCUUACCUUGCAUGCUGGAUGCUGAAAGGAACCUUACAAGAUCAUCCCAUGGUAGGUUUGUUCCUCCUUCGAUGUCAGAGUCAAUCCCAUCAAGAACGGUAGGGCCAAGUGGGAUGAGUGUUUGGUAUUUUUGUUAUGUUUGUGGUUGGGAUUUUAAGAAAAUAAUUUAAUAAAAAUCAUUUUUAAUUGAAAUUUGUUUAAUAAAUUUAAGUGUUUGAUUAAUAUUAUAAUUAAAAUUGAGGUUGAACAAGAAAUAAUUUUAUAUAUUUGGUUAAUAUGUUUUUUAUAUUAAGAUUUGAUUAUGAAAUUACUUAAAAGAAUAUACAUUCAUAUAUAUAUAUAUAUAUAUAUGAUUGCAAAAUAUUGUAGUUUUAUAAUUAUAAUUACAUAACAAAAUGAAUAAUUUUUGUACAUUAUGUUUUUUUUUAUUAUCCCAUCAAACUAUUUGUAAUUUCAUUGCGUAUAAAAUCCAUACGUGAAGGCCUCUACGAUCUUUGACUAUCUAAGUGAACUACAAUAUCUUGUAAAAAAAACAUUCGGAAUAAAAUUGGUAUUGCGAUCAUAUUUAACAAAAACCACAUCAUCUUGUGAUCUCCUUCUAAUAUAGUUAUGUAGUGUCAUUGAUGCAACUAUGAUCUCAACUUGCGUUUUAUAUGGAUAAGCAGACAUGUUUUGCAAAAUUCUUCAUCUCUUCUUCCAUACUCCAAAAAAACACUCUAUCACAUUACAUAGUGAUGAGUGUGUAUGAUUAAACACUUCUUCCUGACCACUUGGUUGUCCACGAAGCUUAAAAUCUUGUAAGUGAUACCUCUCAUCUUUAUAGGGAUCUAAAUACCCAUACUCAUUGGGAUAUCCAAUAUCAACCAAAUAGUAUUUUCCUACAAAUAAGAACAACAUGCUAAUUGUUUUCAAUAACUAUAAAAGAAUAUUAUCUAACUUCAAUUAUCAGCUCUUCAAUUUAUAUCAAAUCACAACCUUCCGGUAGUUUUGGAAACUUUAUAUUAUUACUGUCAAUGGCCUUAGAAAAAUACGUGUAUCGUGUGCGCUGCCUUCCCAUCCUACCCACAUAAUACGAACUGCAUGUCAAAACUAUAAGCAGUCAUGAUGUUUUGUGUUGGUACACAUUUUCUUUCAAUAAAUAAAAUUUGAUUAUCAGAUGAUAUGCAGGCACGAACAUGUGUGCCAUCAAUUGUACCGACACAAUUCUAUAAAAAAAAAUAUAAGUAAUUAGGAAAAUUAAUUAAAUAACUGAUAUUCAUUUAAACAACAUAGAAAAAAUUAGGUCUUACCUUGAAAUAUUGCAUAUAUCUUAGAUUCAUUGCAAUUUCUCUUGGGGUGUUGGUAAAUUAUCAAUUUACUGGUUUUAUGACUUCUACAACAAACAAACAUAAUGAUUUAAGGACUUCUUUUAUACAUCUACUAAAUGUUGAAAUCUCUGUUGCACUUCCCUAUUUGACGCCCCUAAUACUAUUAUAUAUAGAAACAUUAUCACCUUUUUAAUAACGCUCAUUUUUCUUGAAGGUUUUAAGCCAUAACGUGUUUCUAAAUCAUUACAUAGACUUAACAGAGUCCAUCCUAAACAUGUUAACAUAUUGUUUUCAAUAACCUCUUAAAAUUUCAUUCAACCAACGCAUCCAUAUAUUGUAUGAAACAAUACAUGGUUUUUUAUGCAUAAAAUUAAUAUAAUACAUGUUUACAGCUCUAGUCGUGCAUAUAAUUAAUUUAUUCAUAUCAAAUUGUCUCCUUUAAAAAAAUUCACCAUCAUCAUCACUUUCAUCGUUACCAUCAUCAUCAUCAUCAUUACUGUCACCAUCGUUGUUGUCAUCGUCAUUGUCGUUUCCAUCAUCGAUUUAUAUCUAACCAAAUACUAUAAAAUCACUUUCAUCGUCGUCUCAUUCGUCAUUGUCAUGGUUUAUAUCUAACAAAAUACUAUAAAAUCGUGUUUUAACAUAACCUCACCAACAGCCGCAACGCCAAACAUCUUUAAAGAGUGCCCCCAAAGAAAUUGUUCUAAGGGUAAGCUGCUACUUACUUUGUUUCUCUUUUGAAGUAAGAUAGUUUUAAUUUGAAAUUUGAACAUACCUCUAUAAUUUUAGAUUAGUCGUGGCCAUUUAUUAAUAAUGCUCUAAUAUUAUAUUAAAAAACCAUUUUAAUUCAGACAUUUAAAUUUUUAGAUGAUACUCUAAUAAUAAUUUUAUAUUACUAUUUAACAUCCUCCUACGAAAAGCACCACCUUGAUACCUUUUGCUUGACAUGAUUUUAUGUUGGAGCUUAAAUCUGUGCAUCCAUUGUUGUAUGGAUAGCAAUGGCCAGCAAGGCUGAUCAUGGGAGUCUGACCGUUUCCAAAAGUCAACAGGAAAGAUAGGUUCACAUAGUCGUAGUUUCCUGUGGCACAAGUCUCCGCCAAGGUGCUCUCGUUUCCUUUCUGACCCCAUUAGAUUGCUAUCCACCAGCUUCUGAGCCAACCAGUAUUGUCAUAAUUAAACGAUAAGAGGAAUGUUAAUAAGAUUGCUGACCCUUGAUGCCAUCUACUCAUCAAGAAUGCAAGUGUUUGGUGAGUCACUCACUAUUCACUACAGUACUUUUUCAAGAUUUGCCGUGUUGGUGCUUAAACUGUUCUCAAAAGCUUAUCGUUUAUAGUGGAAAUUAACCGAAUCCAACACGAUGGCCACAAACUUGUUCUAUGGUGGAAGAGUGCGUAGCUUAGCAGUCACUUUGUUGCUUCCAGUACUACGCUGUUGAACGGAGCUGGAUGGAGGCAUGUAGCUUAUUUGAAGACAACAGGUUUUCUCAUGUUCAAAUAUCAAUCGUAAUGGCCGAUGAACUCUCCUUAUGCAUUGUCUGUUGUUUUGUGGUCGUAUAUUUGUCUUCUUCACUUUUUGAGCAUUAUGUGAUAAAUCAGUCAAUAACCGGAAGGUUAAGUGAACAAAUAAGGAAAACUGGAGAAGUUAAAAGAAAAAUCAGUAACAUAGAUAUCUAAUUUGAGCGACAAGGGUCGUCCUUUUUUGUGAUCUUGAUCUUCUUUUACAAUUUCAGUUUUUUCUGCAAUGGUGUCAAUAUUUGGAUCCAGAGCAUAAUGCCUUCUUGUAUAUUCUGCUUCAGUUUGAACGUUAUCAAAGGAAUUGUUAAGAAUUAUGAAACCAUGAAGAGAGAUGCUUCAAAGAAACUAGAUACAUAUGUAGAAGAUAGAUCAGCAUAUAUGGAAAUACAACUGAUACCCAUCACACAAAACGGCCACGCAGAAUUGACAGAAAUUUGAGAUCAGACAUCAUUUUUAAUCGAAGAACUGUAUCCACUUUGAUCAUCGUAGUACUUGGACCAGAGCAUCACGCCUCCAUACCUGGAAGAGUCCUUAAUGGAUGGAAGCACGUUUGAUGUGAGAUCAGGGACAGGAAUGAAGCCACUGCCUGCUGCCUCGGGAGAUGCAGGCAAGCCCAAGAAAAUCUUGCUGGCUGGAAUGGCUGAAGUCCGUUGUUUCCAUGCGUCCUGAAGAUUGGUGACCUCACCAGAAGCAUAUUGACAGGGAGGGUUGUUGUAGAAUUGGACCCAAACAUAAUCGAAAAGACCGGUUUUGAGGGCAUUUCCCACCCAAGCAUCAGGGAAUGGGCACCGCGGAGCUGCCGUUGGGUGCACCCUUUGACCUUUCUUGCUAAAUGCUGACAGGUACCUUGCAAGAUCAUCCCAAAUGAAUUUUUUUAUCAUUGUAUUUUUUUAUUUGUAUUACUUAAAUUAGUUGAUUUUAUUAAGCUUAGUUAAGUCAAUAAUCCAAAUCUUAUUAAAAAAAAAACACUUGCAUUACCUUAAUAUUUUUUCAUAUUAAAAAAGUUUCAAGUCAGUCAAGAGCUUCUGUAGAGUAAUAACAAUAAUAAAUACUUAACAUGUUUUUUUUUUUUAAUUUGGAUGUCCGGGCCAGUUUGUGCGUACCUUAAUUAAUCUCACGGGCCCUGAAGCUAACGACCAUGUAAGCCUUUAGUGGCCAUCAUAUAAGCAAUCACAUGAUUCGAACCUGAAACCACAGAAAAAACAAACAUGUUAGUUCCAAUUUCUUACCAUGUUGUGUGAGUAUAUGUUUGGCUUUAACGGUCAUCCUGUCAAGGGUGGUUUGUUUUCGAUGCUAUGAUGUUGUACCCCUUUCGAUGUUAUCAGGUUAACCCGAGUUGAUUCAGAUAUUUUGUAUUAUUUUUUAGUUAAUUAUUAAACAUUGAGUUGUUUAAUAAUUUAGCUUCAUAAUUUUAUCAAGUUUGCUUUUGAAGAACUUCAUGAGUUUUUUCACAUUGUCAAUUUUUCUUGUUGUUAUAUUUAUUAUCAUUGUAUUUUUUUAUUUGUAUUAUUUAAAUUAGUUGAUUUUAUUAAAUUUAGUUAAGUCAAUAACCCAAAUCUUAUUUUUUUAAAAAAAUACUUGGAUUACCUUAAUAUUUUUUUAUAUUUAAAAAGUUUCAAGUCAGUCAAGAGCUUCUGUAGAGUAAUAACAAUAAUAAAUACUUAACAUGUUUUUUUUUUUUUAUUUUGGGUGUCCAUACCAGCUUGUGCGUACCUUGAUUAAUCCCACGGACCUUGAAGUUAACAACCAUGUAAGCCUCUAGUGACCAUCAUAUGAGCAAUCACAGGGUUCGAACCUGAAACUACAGAAAGAGCAAACCUCUUGGUUCCAAUCCCUUAUCAUGUUGUGUGAGUAUAUGUUUGGCUUUAACGGUCAUCUUGUCAAGGAUGGUUUGUUUUCGAUGCUAUGAUGUUGUGCCCCUUUCGAUGCUAUCAGGUUAACCCAAGUUGAUUCAGAUGUUUUAUAUUAUUGUUUUAGUUAAUUAUUAAACAUUGAGUUGUUUAAUAAUUUAGCUUCAUAAUUUUAUUCAGUUUGCUUUUGAAGAAUUUUAUGAGUUUUUUUACAUUUUCAAUUUUUCUUGUUGUUAUAUUUAUUAUCAUUGUAUUUUUUUUUUUUGUAUUAUUUAAAUUAGUUGAUUUUAUUAAACUUAGUUAAGUCAAUAACCCAAAUCUUAUUUAAAAAAAAAAAAUACUUGCAUUACCUUAAUAUUUUUUUAUAUUAAAAAAAUUUCAAGUUGACUUCUGUAGAGUAAUAACAAUAAUAAACACUUAACAUGUUGUGUGAGUGUGUGUGGCUUUAACGGUCAUCCUGUCAAGGGUGAUUCGUAUUGGAUGCGAGCGUGUUUGGUACUGCAUUUUAAAAAUAUUUUUGAAAAAAUUUGAAUUUUUUUUUGCUUUGAAUUAAUAUAUUUUUGAUGUUUUCAAAUUAUUUUGAUAUACUAAUCUCAAAAAUAAUUUUUUAAAAAUAAAAAAAAUAUUAUUAAUAUAUUUUUUUAAAUAAAAAACACUUUAAAAAACAUUCACAGCUAUAUUUUCAUGUAUAAAAGAUGCUGUGCCCCUUUUGCCUAUCGUCGAGGGGUAAUGAGCCGUGACGACGUGCAUGAUUUCUCACAUGAACAUCAGAGGGUGGAAGGUUUGGAAGCCAUGUUUUGUUUUCUAAAGAAGUAGGAUGUUAGAAUAAAUAUAGAAAAAGCAUGUGAAGCAAAAUUUAUUGAAAUUAGUUACCCGUUUAUUUAAUUGGAAGUUGAUUAAAAAGGCAGAAAAAAAAAGGAAAUGGAAAACAGUGCCUAUAAGGAAAAACUUUACGUACAGUCAAAGCAUUUUUGUUAUGAUUAUAUUCGCUGACAUUGCCGGCUAGCUGAGCUGUUUUAACCUUUUUAAAGGCACCGUGUGAUUUUUCGGUCUAAUUUUAAAAACUUUUAUUUUUUAAAAAAAAUUAAAUGAAUUUUCUUAUUAUUUUAAUAUUCUAAUAUAAAAACAAAAAAAUUAAUCAAAAUCUCCCAAGGUUAGAUCUUUUUUUCCAUAAACUUUUUUCCUAGAAUAAAUCCUAUCGAUACAAAACAUAAUUUUUUUUAUGGCUGUAAUUGACGUGAAUAAAAACUUUAUUAUUUUAUUAUUGAAAUCCAGCUAUUUUUUUUUAUCUCUUUUUAAUCGGGAAUUUAAAAACCAGAAAAAUAAAGUGUUAUAUCAAAAUUAGAUUUUAAAAAUUUAAAGGACUGAAAAGAUAAAUUAAAAAAGUAAAAGGAUGAAAAUAAACAUUUCUACGCAUACCUUGAAAUCAAUACCCAUUUUACUUGUAUUUUUCACUUCAAUUUUUUAGUUUUUAAUUUUGUUAUUCCUGAAUAAUUUAACUUAAAUUGGCCUUAAAUCAGUGUUUCAUAGUGAGGGUGCUACGGGGGAAACACCACAUUUUCUAAAAUAAUAAUAAAAUAAUUGUGGUGUUAAGAUUUACCUGUGAUGUUCGGAUGUUAACAACUUACGAAUUACUAGUAAUCAAGGCCUCCCCCUUGUGAUGAUUCCAAACCAUCAUGGUUUCCCCACCCUAAGCAGUAGGUUCGGGGGUAAUCAGUAAGAAGGAGGGAGCCCUCUCCCGACAUUCCCGAAGCCUACUAUCAUCUCACCCCUAUAUUCGAGUCUGAGGACUCAACUAGACAGCUAGGUGAAAUAAAUGUGGGCCUGUUUGUAAUUAUAUUUCAAGUUAUUUUUUUAAAAAAUAUAUUAAAAUAAUAUUUUUUAUUCUAAAAUUUAUUUUUAAUAUUACAACAUCAAAAACAUCAAAACCAUUCGAAUUUAAAAACACAGUCCUCAACAGGCUUGAACUGAAACACGGGGGUUCAUAUCUGGCUUAUAUAAAUUUUAUUUUUAUAAAUGUAAAUGUGAUUAUUUUUUAAAAUAUUUUUUAUUUAUAAAUAUAUUAAAAUAUUAUUUUUUUAUUUUUUAAAAAUAAUUUUUAAAAUUAACAGGUCAAAAUGAUUUAAAAAUAUAAAAAAUAUUAAUUUAAAAUAAAAUAAUAAAAAAAAUUAAUUUUUUUUAAAUAUUUUUAAAACAUUAAAACAAACAAGGCAUGAUCCCUCCAAAAAUAUUUUAAAAAAAAACAUGUAAAAAGAUCUUAGUUUAAGGAGUCAACUAGGUGAAAAAACCAAAUAAAUAUCUUAAUUUAGUAUGUGGCUCGGCUUCGAUGGGAAUCUUGUGAGACUAGCUCAUAUCGCUUUUCAAAUGACAUCCCUCCUUGGAUUUUUUUUGGAAGAAACAUAUAAAAGGAUAUUACAAUAUGAUUAAACAUUUUUGAGCCUUUUCGAUUUAUAUUUUAAAUUCUCUUACAUUAGCCAUUUAAUCAUGAUCAACCUUAUAAACAUCAUGAUGACAUUCGUGUCAUCAAUAAUUAUCUUCUUUUAUUUGAUUUAUAUACCAAAUCGGAUAUUAAAUCUUUAAAGGUUUAGUUAAUAUAUAUAUAUAUAUAUCAAUAAUAGGGAUAAAAUAAAAAAAAUAUUUGAAAUUAUAUUACAAUGAGGUGGAAAACCACUAUUCACUGUACAAGUGAAACCACCUCUAAUUUUACAAGACCUCAAAAUUUAUGCUUUCAUGAUAAGUUGUUUUUUAAAAGAUUUUUUUAUAUAUAAAUAUUUUAAAAUAAUAUAUAUUUUUUAUUUUUUAAAAUUUAUUUUUUACAUAAUUUUUGACAUAACUAUAGAUUUUAAUCCUUUAUUUGUUGAAGGGGAUGUAAAAGUAAUUAUUUUUAUGUAUUUUUAAACCAAACAUCCCCUUCAACAAAUAAAGUGUUAAAAUCAAGGGAUAGAAUUAUUAUUUUUUUUUCAAAAAGAACUACUCUGGGAUUUCUUAAAGCCUCCUUUAACCAUUCAUCUAAAUAUAACAACUUAAAUUUCGCAAGUACUACCAGUCAUAGCUAAAUACUAUCACAAAAUCCAAUUAUUUAUAUAUACAUGACAAAUUGACAACUAGCAAAUAUAAAAGAUUCUUUGCCAUUAGACCCUUCAAAGUCUCGGAAAUUAUAAAAACAGAUUUGAAAAUGAAUAAUACUAUUUAAUUGUCCAGGCUCGGUUUACCAAUAAGAUUAUAUUAGAUUAUUAUAGCGCAUUUAAUAUUAUUAGUUUUUGGUUACAAGAAAAAAAUCAUCCUUGUGACUGGCCUUCACCUAACGGCGCUUGUAUCACUCACUGUCUCUGCCCCUCCCAUAACCCACGAUUGACGCAGUCACCGCUCCCCAAAAUAUCGUUGAGAUAAUAAUUAAAAAGAAAACAAUUAAAUAUACCAUGUAAGGGCGUCCACGUAACAUUCUCUCAGCCGUCGAUUGCGAUUACCAAACCCGAAUUCUUCAAAACUAACGGUUGCUAGAUAUUUGAUUAUUCGUGUUUAGCAGAUUUUUACCUGCUGAGCUAAUUAAAGUUACCGUUUCACCGCUAGUUUCGUUGUAAGAAAAGAAAAGAAAAGAAAAGAAAAAAAAAUCUAAACCUCUCCUCUUUUUGCGCAGAAACUGAAAAUAAAACCACCCCCAGAGGCCCCAUAGCUAAGUAAAGAAGAGAGCGGCAGCCCAAAAAAGAGCUAAAACUGAGAGAGAGAGAGAUCAAAUACAGAUCGAAAUCCCUGUUAAUGGGAUUGUUUCCCUAAACGGAAACAGGCAUUCUUUGAUUUGUUUUGGUUUCUUUUUAGGCAUCCAUAUCAAACUCCCUUUAAGCUUCUUGUUUCCAGAGUUCAAUGGAGGGCGACAAAAAGUACAUUACAGGCGAAGAGCUUAAGCAACACAACAAGGAGGGAGACUUGUGGAUCUCUAUCCAGGGAAAGGUUUAUAAUGUCUCUGAUUGGGCUCAUGAACAUCCAGGCGGAGAUGUACCUCUCCUGAAUCUGGCAGGCCAAGACGUUACUGAUGCAUUUAUUGCCUACCAUCCUGGAACAGCAUGGCAAUAUCUUGACAAGUUCUUUACAGGGUAUUAUCUCAAAGAUUUCAAGGUGUCAGAGACGUCCAAGGAUUACAGGAGGCUUGCUUCAGAGUUUGCGAAACUGGGUUUGUUUGAAAAGAAAGGACAUAUUACCAUGUAUGCCCUCGCAUCUAUUGCAUUGAUGUUUUGCGUUGUUCUUUAUGGUGUUUUGUGUUGCCAGAGUGUUUGGGCUCAUUUAGGAUCUGCUUUAGUGUUGGGUUUUCUUUGGAUUCAAAGUGCCUAUAUUGGUCAUGAUUCGGGGCAUUACCAGGUAAUGAAGAGUCGUGGUUAUAACAAAUUUGCUCAAUUUAUUGCUGGGAAUUCCCUCACAGGCAUUAGCAUUGCUUGGUGGAAAUGGACCCACAAUGCACACCAUCUUGCCUGCAACAGUCUUGAUUAUGAUCCUGAUCUUCAACACAUACCAGUCUUUGCGGUAAAUUCGACUUUUUUUAAUUCGAUAAAGUCUUGCUUUUAUGGAAGGUACUUGGAUUUUGAUCCUGUGGCAAGGUUUUUUGUGAGUUACCAACAUUGGACUUUUUAUCCAGUAAUGUGUGUUGCCAGGGUCAAUUUGUAUUUACAAACAUUCUUGCUAUUGUUUUCAAAGAGAAAAUUCCCAGAUAGAGCUUUGAACAUCUUGGGAAUCCUCAUCUUUUGGACUUGGUUCCCUCUACUUGUGUCUUGUCUCCCUAAUUGGCCUGAGAGGGUGAUGUUUGUGCUUGCAAGCUUUGCUGUUACCGCAAUUCAACACGUUCAAUUUUGUUUGAAUCAUUUUGCGGCCGAUGUUUACACUGGACCUCCAAAAGGGAAUGAUUGGUUUGAGAAACAGACAGGGGGGACUUUGGAUAUUUCGUGCUCAUCUUGGAUGGAUUGGUUUUACGGUGGUUUACAGUUUCAGCUUGAGCAUCACUUGUUUCCAAGGAUGCCAAGAGGCCAAUUGAGAAGGGUUUCACCGUUGGUACAGGAUCUAUGUAAGAAGCACAAUUUGUCUUACAGGAGCUUGUCCUUCUGGGAAGCCAAUGUGUGGACAAUCAGGAGACUCAGGAACGUUGCCCAGCAGGCUAGGGAUCUGUCCAACCCCGUCCCUAAAAAUAUGUUGUGGGAAGCUGUUAAUACUCAUGGAUGAAAGUCUACAUUUCUUGAAGGCUUGUCAAGAUUCAAUAAUGAUGAAAGCCCACUUAUCUUGAAGGCUGAUCAUCAGCAAUCAUUUUAUUUUCUUAUUUAAUUUUGAUUGCUCUGGUCUUUUACUUAUUUUGCUUCGUCGUUUAAUUUGGAAUUUUCUUCUGUUUUUCUCCUGAAUUUGGACCUCCAUUGACAGAGGUUGUAUUUGGUAUCGGGCGUAUUUGAUCACGCUUAUUAU
This 11911-nucleotide long non-coding RNA is filed under the name Populus tremula. RNAcentral describes it as "long non-coding RNA (PTRE_LNC001804)". The record is from RNAcentral. Lineage: Eukaryota; Viridiplantae; Streptophyta; Magnoliopsida; Malpighiales; Salicaceae.